Non-coding RNA from Podarcis lilfordi (Lilford's wall lizard), 73 nucleotides. Lineage: Eukaryota; Metazoa; Chordata; Lepidosauria; Squamata; Lacertidae. The record is from the annotation of a GenBank genome assembly.
UGUAUAGCUCAGUUGGCCAAGCACGGCUCUCUUAAUCUCAAGGUCAUGGGUUCAAGCCCCAUGUCGGGCAAAA